AUUGAACGCUGGCGGCAUGCCUUACACAUGCAAGUCGAACGGCAGCACGGACUUCGGUCUGGUGGCGAGUGGCGAACGGGUGAGUAAUACAUCGGAACGUGCCUAGUAGUGGGGGAUAACUACUCGAAAGAGUGGCUAAUACCGCAUGAGAUCUACGGAUGAAAGCGGGGGAUCGCAAGACCUCGCGCAAUUGGAGCGGCCGAUGCCCGAUUAGCUAGUUGGUGAGGUAAAGGCUCACCAAGGCGACGAUCGGUAGCUGGUCUGAGAGGACGACCAGCCACACUGGGACUGAGACACGGCCCAG
This 304-nucleotide ribosomal RNA is filed under the name uncultured bacterium. RNAcentral describes it as "bacterial SSU rRNA". It matches the Rfam family "Bacterial small subunit ribosomal RNA", at positions 30 to 334 of the family's 1533-position model. The record is from RNAcentral.